This 354-nucleotide non-coding RNA is filed under the name Pan troglodytes (chimpanzee). Lineage: Eukaryota; Metazoa; Chordata; Mammalia; Primates; Hominidae. The record is from RNAcentral. RNAcentral also lists the same sequence under 1 other name.
GGGCUUUGUAGACUCAAGACUGCUGAGAAGAAUCAGGCAGUCAUGUAAAGGGGUUGAAGGCAUGUGUGUUUCCUUCCAGGAGUAUGAACUGUGUGAAGAGUGGGGCUGCCUGUACCCCAUUCCAAGAGAACAUUUAAUCAGCCUUCAUCAAAAGCAUCUUCUCCACCUUCUAGAAAGAAGAGAUCAUGACAAGGCUCUGCAACUCCUGCGAAGAAUCCCUGACCCCACCAUGUGCCUUGAAGUGACAGAGCAAUCCCUCGACCAGCACACUAGCUUGGCCACUUCUCACUUCUUGGCCAACUACCUCACCACCCACUUCUAUGGACAACUGACUGCUGUCCGACACCGUGAAAU